AAGAAAAGAACAAGAUGGUGAAGUUUGAAAAAAGAACAAUUCUGAAGGGGAGGCUCCUCAAAGAUUUGGAAGAGGAAGGAAGGACAUGGUCCCUCAGUUGGAAGGAAUGUUAGCCCUAAAAAGUUUAAGAUAGAGAAUGAAAGAGUAAAUAGUGUGGUGAAAUGAGUAAAAGGUGAAGUUUGAUGAUAAUGAGCUAGGGGAGAUUCUAAGGAUACAUGUUGAAGGCUACAUAAGCAACAUGUCAUAUGUUUCACAUGAAUAUGUAACUUGAGUAACCUCUACUUCCUAAGCAGCCUUCAUUGAACAACCAACCAUACUAUAUAUAAAUACUAGAUAUCCCGUGCAUGUGUUGUGCACGGGCCUAACACGACCAUAAGCCUAACACCACUGCACAAAAUAGGUCCGAGAGUAAGAAAGAUAAUUUCAUACUUGUGUAGUAAGAUUACCCCCGAAAAAUAAAAUGACGAAGCAAUACCAUCCGUUGACUAAAUAUUACAACAUAAUACACCACAUUCAUUUGUUUAGCUUCAUUAGUCCAAUUGCAUUUUUAGCUUGCUUCUAUGAGAAUGAGAAAGAUAAAAACAAUCAGAUAAAUCGUGUUCAUGUUGGUAGUCCCACUAAUACAAAAUAUUGGAUAAAAUUUGGACAGUUGCAGUUGACAACAAAUACUUCAUCUUAUAUCCACCUAAAGAAAAGAAAAUCAAGCAUUAGUAUUAUUGGUAAGACUUACAUAUGGUAGUAUAACAAUCAUAAAAUUCAGCUAGUUUGCAUAUUCAGCAAAACAAUCAUAAAUUCAUUAAUUUUGGAGGAAAAAGAGGGGCAUAAAAUAUCAGCAUGGACUAAGAGGAGAAAGAAAAGAUUCAGACACGGUAGACCUAUUGAAAUGCCCCCAUCAAAGGCAUGUUCUAAAUCUGAAUUGGGUCUCUUCUUUUUAGCAAUCUAUAGCUAGGCAUUAAAUAAUGAUUUACAACCUUGGAGGACCUAUUUAGGGAUAUGAACCUUUAACCUAUUUCAUUGGAGGAGACUAUCUUCAUUGAUUUUGGUAUUGAUGUAAUAACUGAAAAGUGAUACACACCAAAUUUAAAAUAGAAAAUCUGCAAUAGAAGCACUACCAGUAAAUCACAAUUCACAACCAUACUCGCAUAUUCUGUGACUUAGGAGAGAUCAUGUAGUGGUAUUUCUAUUUCAAUCACCUGACCCUACUCUAUUCAUGAGAACAACUGCUAUCUAUGUUGAAUGAAUGCGUCCAGGUUACUACAAAAAUUUCUAGACAAAUUCUAACUUCUGCAAAUACUACUUCAAUUGCCUUAUUUCUAUUAUAUACUUACAAGCAACGACCAUCUCAUCAUGACCAUCUAUCGAAGAGAUGCACCAAAAAGAUCUGAAAAACAUAAAGCAGAUAAACGAACCUUCAAAAUAUAAGUUUUGAGUAGUAUUUAAACACAUGUUAAAGGAUACAAUGAAAAGAAGCAUAUUGCCAACGACAAGUCUGUUUUUUCAUUUCCUUGCAAAACUUACUAAUGACAAACUAAGUGAAUGUGUGGGCUAAAGAUGUUGCAACCUGAUCAUUCUAGAUAUGUCCAUGUUAUUGUCCUUGGUGGGGCUUCAGUGAGAGUUCAUCAUUUAUAAUUUGCUGCUUUUGAGGCUAGUGAAAAAUAUUCAACAUGUUGUGCGAGAGAUUUGGAAACAACAGUUAUCACUUAUCACAUGCCAUCAGUUCUUGCUCGAUCCUUAUCUAUAUGAAAUAAAGCGUGCGUCUAUACCGAUAAGUAGAUAUUGAUUGAUCUCAACUAAUCAAGGGGAAAAUGUUUGAUAUUUUGGUCAAUUCAAAAUAUCAUAAUAAAAAUACCCCCGUACCCUGACAACUUAAAAAAAGUGAAAAGAAGAAAGGAAUGUUGAGGCUAGGAAUGAAGUGCAAAGAGAAAACUGGAGAAAUAAAACUCACAUGCAGACAUCCACUAAUCAAACAAAUCAAAUGCUCAAAAAACAAAAUCAGAGAACAUAGCUUACCAAUUAAUACAAUCGCAGCACACCAGAUUGAUCGGCAAAGGACUGUCAAUCCAACUAAAGAAGAUACUAUCAUGUGACAGAAGCAUUAUUCAAAGUUCAAACUUGCCGCAAUUAUUACUCCCACCGUUCCAGUUUAUGUAAACCUAGCUAUUUCCUUUUUGGUCCGUUCCAAAAAGAAUGACCCCUUUCUAAAUUUGGAAACAAUUUAGCUUAAACUUCCAAUUCUACCCUUAAUGAGAAGCUUUUAUAACCACACAAAUACUCUGGUCCCCAUUUUGACUUGUUUAGGACCACAAAUUCUAAAAAAGUCAUCAUUUUUUCUUAAACUCCGUGAUCAGUCAAACAUGUUCACAUAAAUUGGAACAGAGGGAGUAUUAUUGAAAAAAAUGGAAGGGAAGGAAAAGAUAAAGCUGUAAUUUUGAUUACUUUUGCUCCACGCGUAUAGUAGUCACCGGAACAUCUAUGUACAAGAUAAAAAGUCAUAAGCAAGCUGCGGUAAGGACUUUAUUUUCCUGCAAAACAAUUGUUGAUGUAUAGAAAAACAUGUUACUAAUUUAUAUGAGGGAAUCAAUUAGGAUAUUUGCGAACGAACAUUUAAACUUGUUGCUAAAUUUUUAUGUUUGAGUAGCUUAGUAACUUUUAUUCUCUGUGUAAAAGCAUAGGAGUUAGCAGGACUUCAGAAUAUGCAAGCAUUUGAACUAUCUCGGAGGAGUUGAUUGAAAUAUUUCAAGAAUUUCUCAAGGAUUAAUCUUCAUUUCCUGCACAUACUCUAGUCCCUCUCGAGAUAGUAAUUCUGGGGUUUUCACAUUAUAAAAUGACAUAAAGAUGAUCUCCGAAUGAUCUUCUUAGCUGCUACUUGAUUUUCAAAUGUAUCAACCAAAUCAGACAACCCAAUGAAUGAAAGCUCUUAAUCUUCAUUAUACUCCAGCAUAGAGCGAUAAUGUCUCAAAUUCUAGAGUAAUCUUAAUAUCUCGUUCUGAACACUUAUGUCAUUUGAGUAUCAAAUAAAUCUCAGUUGUAACCUAAAAGCAACAACCAUAAAUUCCAGCUUUGUUUCUUUGAUACUAUGUUGUAGAUUAGUUUUAUGGAGUUACAACCAACAAAUCAGAAGUAGAAAGAUUCAAAAAAUGACGAAGAAACAAUAAUAAUUCAACGAUGAUAGAUAAACAAAAUUGAUUGUCCUUGUAAUAUUGCAUAGAUCAGAGAGCUAUUGUUGAAAUGUGAGACCCGUUUGGCCAUAGAUCACUUUUGACACGGAACCAACCCCCAGAGGAAACAGAGGGACAACAACACAAAACUGCAGCACAUCCCUAUUUUUAUUUCUAAAGCAAGAAAGAACAACGACACUGCCACUCUUCAAUUAAUUUCUAAAUCAAUUCCCAAAUAGAAUUUCAGUGCACCUUUAUCAUCUCUCAACGCAAUUCUAAUGUGCAAAGUCGCCCAAACCUGUAGAAGUAAGAGGUUCUUACUCCCAUGUAGUCUAAAUACUUUUUUUCUUACUAUUUUCUUCAAUCCUUUAUCUUCUUUUUUAUAACAAGAAUAAGUACAACUAUAGAUUUGUUGCCUAACAUAAACUUUUCCUAAGCAUUCAUCCCACAAAUCAAAGUAGGCAAAUAACUUUAAGCUUUUCCUAAUCAUGUAUAUUCCAAUCAAUCAACCUCCAUUCCAUACAUCAUCCUAUUUCUUUGGAUGCUGUCAUAGCCAAAAAGAAGUGACAAAAUAAGACGGUAAACUUUCCUCUUCCAUUGUUAUCUUCGAGAAAUAGAGUAAGACAGUGGACACAUAGAAGGUUUGAAGAUGAAAUUUCAUAAAGAUACCCCACGCCCUAGAUCACUUUCAGCAUUCUAAAGAUGCCAAGUGAAUGUAGAAAUUUGAAAGUUCUAAAAGAUGGAUAUAUAUUCUUUGUUCCGAGUUGGCGAUUUUGGUGUUAUAGAUGUAGUUUAUUGUAAGGUCUGUAAUGUUAUUUGAAAAGUGUUCAUGACGGCUAGUAAGAUGAUAAAGCCCAUAAUACUGUAUGUAAUACCCGAAAGAAUUGUACUCUAGCUAGUUUGUUGAACAUACCAUCACAAUCUCGGUGUUGUUUGUAAUUAGAAAAUUUACCUUUUUAAUCAAAAGCAAUAUAAGGAGAAAAUAUGGUCAAAGUAUAGAAUCAGAUAUGCUGAGCACAUUUUUCCUGAAAUAAAAAGAACUCAAUUUAGUAAAAAUUUUGAUUCAUAUCUUCUCAAGCUCAACCUGAGACUAUACUUUCCUAAAGUCGGAAUAGGAUCGUUCUCCACUUCACGAGAUUUUAAAAAGAACAACUUAAUUUUGUAAAUACUUCAUUAAUCAUUUUUCCCAAAUAAAGUUUUUAAACAUAUAAAAUCUCUAUAAGAAGACAAAAGUGAAAGAACACAAGUAUUUUUCUUGGCUGUACAUUAAAAAUAAAAAGAAUGCAUUUGAAACAUUAGUUUGCUAAUUUCAGUACUGUUGAAGAAGCCUUGUAAAACAUUAAAUUCGGAUAGCCUAACAUACAAUUAUUUCUUGUUAGCUAAGAAGUCCUUUAAAGUAUGCAUCAACUACCGUCAACAGUCAGAUAAAUAUUACUUCUCAUUUAAUUCUAUCCUCUCAUGUCUACAGCAGUUUAGAAAAUCCACAAAAUUGUUUAGAUCCUGGGGCCAUCUUACAAUUACACCAAGAAUACACAAACUGCAAUGACUUGAAUUGAAUACAUGCUAAGGCCCAAUAAGUAUUUUGAAAAAAACUAUAGUUUCUUUCCACAUUGUGCAAAAAAAGCACGAAGGAACUUAUUACUGGAUGUCUUUGUGAAUGUAAUAGAAAAUCUCAUGAAUUAAGCAUAAAAAACCUUUUGUUCUUGGGGAUAAUUGCAUUUUUAAUGAGUUACUAAUAUUGAAAAGGGGAAGUAAGUAAAAGUAAACCAAAAUGUGCAGAACUUACCUGGUACAAGUGAAGCAAUAUUCCUUUCCCCACUUUCAGUUAACAACUUCCUUUAAGAAAAAUCUGAAAAAUCAAUAUUUUGGGACCAUUAUAUUCCUACUAAAUGAAUACAAAAAUAUUCGGUAAUAUCAAAAGUUCAUAUUUCAAACAAAACCCAAGUAAGCGAUACACUAUUCAGUUUAAUAGAGUCUCGUCAAAAAAUAAUAAAAUAGGAGUAAUAAUUUUGAAAAAGAAGAAGAUAAACCCAAUUAAAGAACAUUGUGUGAGAAAAAUAUUGUGCAUGAGUAAAUCAAACAUAUCUACUGACAUGUAUGUAUAACAUUCAAUAAAAUACUGCCCAAAAGUUCAAGAUGCCCAAAAAAUUAUAUUAAAAACAGGAUCCAAACACAUGCAUAGCCGAGAAAACAGAGGAAGAUGCAAAGAAGGUGUCCAAUUCCCUGCUUCUUAGUAGGAGAAACUGAUAGAUAAGUCACCAAAGAAACCCCAAAUUUUCCAUCUUUCAAUUUUCUUUUUCAAACUUUCAGUUCAUACACUUUGAAAACCUAAAUAGACACAAUUCAAUAAUGUAGCCACAUAAGACUCACCAAUCCUUGUAACAUUAAAAAAAUUAGAAAUGGUAAAAGAUAAAAGAUAAAAGAUAUUCUCCAUCUUCAUAAUAGCCAAAGGUAACACAUAAAUAUUAAAAAAAUGAACCCAGAUGGGACUAAAUCUAAAAACUGAGCAAAAUAUUAACAGGGGGAAGAAGAAAAAGGCAUCAGCAAGAGAAAGAGUCGGUGGAAGGGAAAUUGAGAAAUGUAGGAAAAAG
RNAcentral lists this long non-coding RNA (5749 nucleotides) under Nicotiana tabacum (common tobacco). RNAcentral describes it as "long non-coding RNA (NTAB_LNC000839)". Lineage: Eukaryota; Viridiplantae; Streptophyta; Magnoliopsida; Solanales; Solanaceae. The record is from RNAcentral.